This is a small nuclear RNA of Octodon degus (degu), 116 nucleotides long. Its record names the gene U5. It matches the Rfam family "U5 spliceosomal RNA". From Rfam's summary of the family: U5 RNA is a component of both types of known spliceosome. Lineage: Eukaryota; Metazoa; Chordata; Mammalia; Rodentia; Octodontidae. The record is from Ensembl.
ACACUCUGGUUUCUCUUCAGAUUGUAUAAAUCUCUUACCUUCUACUAAAAAUUUUGAUGGAGAGGAACAAUAAUGAGUCUUAAACCAAUUUUUUAAGGCCUUGUUUCUGCAAGGCU